RNAcentral lists this ribosomal RNA (429 nucleotides) under Bacteroidota bacterium. RNAcentral's name for it is "Bacteroidetes bacterium partial 16S ribosomal RNA". It matches the Rfam family "Bacterial small subunit ribosomal RNA", at positions 355 to 776 of the family's 1533-position model. Lineage: Bacteria; Pseudomonadati; Bacteroidota. The record is from RNAcentral.
UAGGGAAUCUUCCGCAAUGGACGCAAGUCUGACGGAGCAACGCCGCGUGAGUGAAGAAGGAUUUCGGUUCGUAAAACUCUGUUGUUAGAGAAGAACAGCGCAUAGAGUAACUGUUAUGCGUGUGACGGUAUCUAACCAGAAAGCCACGGCUAACUACGUGCCAGCAGCCGCGGUAAUACGUAGGUGGCAAGCGGUGUCCGGACUUAUUGGGCGUAAAGCGAGCGCAGGCGGUCAAUUAAGUCUGAUGUGAAAGCCCCCGGCUCAACCGGGGAGGGUCAUUGGAAACUGGUUGACUUGAGUGCAGAAGAGGAGAGUGGAAUUCCAUGUGUAGCGGUGAAAUGCGUAGAUAUAUGGAGGAACACCAGUGGCGAAGGCGACUCUCUGGUCUGUAACUGACGCUGAGGCUCGAAAGCGUGGGUAGCAAACAGG